Small nuclear RNA from Vombatus ursinus (common wombat), 107 nucleotides. The record is from Ensembl. Lineage: Eukaryota; Metazoa; Chordata; Mammalia; Diprotodontia; Vombatidae.
GUGCUUGCUUUGGUAGCACAUUGACUAAAAUUGGAAUGAUUCAGGGAAGGUUAGCACAGCCCCUGUGCAAGGAUGACACACAAAUCUGUAAAGCAUUCCAUCAAAAA